RNAcentral lists this ribosomal RNA (2903 nucleotides) under Escherichia coli DEC4C. RNAcentral's name for it is "bacterial LSU rRNA". It matches the Rfam family "Bacterial large subunit ribosomal RNA". The record is from RNAcentral. Lineage: Bacteria; Pseudomonadati; Pseudomonadota; Gammaproteobacteria; Enterobacterales; Enterobacteriaceae.
UUAAGCGACUAAGCGUACACGGUGGAUGCCCUGGCAGUCAGAGGCGAUGAAGGACGUGCUAAUCUGCGAUAAGCGUCGGUAAGGUGAUAUGAACCGUUAUAACCGGCGAUUUCCGAAUGGGGAAACCCAGUGUGAUUCGUCACACUAUCAUUAACUGAAUCCAUAGGUUAAUGAGGCGAACCGGGGGAACUGAAACAUCUAAGUACCCCGAGGAAAAGAAAUCAACCGAGAUUCCCCCAGUAGCGGCGAGCGAACGGGGAGGAGCCCAGAGCCUGAAUCAGUGUGUGUGUUAGUGGAAGCGUCUGGAAAGGCGCGCGAUACAGGGUGACAGCCCCGUACACAAAAAUGCACAUGCUGUGAGCUCGAUGAGUAGGGCGGGACACGUGGUAUCCUGUCUGAAUAUGGGGGGACCAUCCUCCAAGGCUAAAUACUCCUGACUGACCGAUAGUGAACCAGUACCGUGAGGGAAAGGCGAAAAAGAACCCCGGCGAGGGGAGUGAAAAAGAACCUGAAACCGUGUACGUACAAGCAGUGGGAGCACAGAGCAAUCUGUGUGACUGCGUACCUUUUGUAUAAUGGGUCAGCGACUUAUAUUCUGUAGCAAGGUUAACCGAAUAGGGGAGCCGAAGGGAAACCGAGUCUUAACCGGGCGUUAAGUUGCAGGGUAUAGACCCGAAACCCGGUGAUCUAGCCAUGGGCAGGUUGAAGGUUGGGUAACACUAACUGGAGGACCGAACCGACUAAUGUUGAAAAAUUAGCGGAUGACUUGUGGCUGGGGGUGAAAGGCCAAUCAAACCGGGAGAUAGCUGGUUCUCCCCGAAAGCUAUUUAGGCAGCGCCUCGUGAAUUCAUCUCCGGGGGUAGAGCACUGUUUCGGCAAGGGGGUCAUCCCGACUUACCAACCCGAUGCAAACUGCGAAUACCGGAGAAUGUUAUCACGGGAGACACACGGCGGGUGCUAACGUCCGUCGUGAAGAGGGAAACAACCCAGACCGCCAGCUAAGGUCCCAAAGUCAUGGUUAAGUGGGAAACGAUGUGGGAAGGCCCAGACAGCCAGGAUGUUGGCUUAGAAGCAGCCAUCAUUUAAAGAAAGCGUAAUAGCUCACUGGUCGAGUCGGCCUGCGCGGAAGAUGUAACGGGGCUAAACCAUGCACCGAAGCUGCGGCAGCGACACUGUGUGUUGUUGGGUAGGGGAGCGUUCUGUAAGCCUGUGAAGGUGUACUGUGAGGUAUGCUGGAGGUAUCAGAAGUGCGAAUGCUGACAUAAGUAACGAUAAAGCGGGUGAAAAGCCCGCUCGCCGGAAGACCAAGGGUUCCUGUCCAACGUUAAUCGGGGCAGGGUGAGUCGACCCCUAAGGCGAGGCCGAAAGGCGUAGUCGAUGGGAAACAGGUUAAUAUUCCUGUACUUGGUGUUACUGCGAAGGGGGACGGAGAAGGCUAUGUUGGCCGGGCGACGGUUGUCCCGGUUUAAGCGUGUAGGCUGGUUUUCCAGGCAAAUCCGGAAAAUCAAGGCUGAGGCGUGAUGACGAGGCGCUACGGUGCUGAAGCAACAAAUGCCCUGCUUCCAGGAAAAGCCUCUAAGCAUCAGGUAACAUCAAAUCGUACCCCAAACCGACACAGGUGGUCAGGUAGAGAAUACCAAGGCGCUUGAGAGAACUCGGGUGAAGGAACUAGGCAAAAUGGUGCCGUAACUUCGGGAGAAGGCACGCUGAUAUGUAGGUGAAGUCCCUCGCGGAUGGAGCUGAAAUCAGUCGAAGAUACCAGCUGGCUGCAACUGUUUAUUAAAAACACAGCACUGUGCAAACACGAAAGUGGACGUAUACGGUGUGACGCCUGCCCGGUGCCGGAAGGUUAAUUGAUGGGGUCAGCGCAAGCGAAGCUCUUGAUCGAAGCCCCGGUAAACGGCGGCCGUAACUAUAACGGUCCUAAGGUAGCGAAAUUCCUUGUCGGGUAAGUUCCGACCUGCACGAAUGGCGUAAUGAUGGCCAGGCUGUCUCCACCCGAGACUCAGUGAAAUUGAACUCGCUGUGAAGAUGCAGUGUACCCGCGGCAAGACGGAAAGACCCCGUGAACCUUUACUAUAGCUUGACACUGAACAUUGAGCCUUGAUGUGUAGGAUAGGUGGGAGGCUUUGAAGUGUGGACGCCAGUCUGCAUGGAGCCGACCUUGAAAUACCACCCUUUAAUGUUUGAUGUUCUAACGUGGACCCGUGAUCCGGGUUGCGGACAGUGUCUGGUGGGUAGUUUGACUGGGGCGGUCUCCUCCUAAAGAGUAACGGAGGAGCACGAAGGUUGGCUAAUCCUGGUCGGACAUCAGGAGGUUAGUGCAAUGGCAUAAGCCAGCUUGACUGCGAGCGUGACGGCGCGAGCAGGUGCGAAAGCAGGUCAUAGUGAUCCGGUGGUUCUGAAUGGAAGGGCCAUCGCUCAACGGAUAAAAGGUACUCCGGGGAUAACAGGCUGAUACCGCCCAAGAGUUCAUAUCGACGGCGGUGUUUGGCACCUCGAUGUCGGCUCAUCACAUCCUGGGGCUGAAGUAGGUCCCAAGGGUAUGGCUGUUCGCCAUUUAAAGUGGUACGCGAGCUGGGUUUAGAACGUCGUGAGACAGUUCGGUCCCUAUCUGCCGUGGGCGCUGGAGAACUGAGGGGGGCUGCUCCUAGUACGAGAGGACCGGAGUGGACGCAUCACUGGUGUUCGGGUUGUCAUGCCAAUGGCACUGCCCGGUAGCUAAAUGCGGAAGAGAUAAGUGCUGAAAGCAUCUAAGCACGAAACUUGCCCCGAGAUGAGUUCUCCCUGACCCUUUAAGGGUCCUGAAGGAACGUUGAAGACGACGACGUUGAUAGGCCGGGUGUGUAAGCGCAGCGAUGCGUUGAGCUAACCGGUACUAAUGAACCGUGAGGCUUAACCUU